GCCGGGCGUGGUGGUGCGCGCCUGUAAUCCCAGCUACUCAGGAGGCUGAGGCAGGAGAAUCACUUGAACCCGGGAGGCAGAGGUUGCAGUGAGUGGAGAUCAUGCCACUGUACUCCAGCCUGGGCAACAGAGUGAGACUCUGACUCAA
This 148-nucleotide non-coding RNA is filed under the name Nomascus leucogenys (northern white-cheeked gibbon). Lineage: Eukaryota; Metazoa; Chordata; Mammalia; Primates; Hylobatidae. The record is from Rfam by way of RNAcentral.